UACGUAGGGGGCAAGCGUUAUCCGGAUUUACUGGGUGUAAAGGGAGCGUAGACGGCCAGACAAGUCUGAAGUGAAAAUCCAGCGCUUAACGUUGGAAGUGCUUUGGAAACUGCCGGGCUAGAGUACAGGAGGGGCAGGCGGAAUUCCUGGUGUAGCGGUGAAAUGCGUAGAUAUCAGGAGGAACACCGGCGGCGAAGGCGGCCUGCUGGACUGCAACUGACGUUGAGGCCCGAAAGCGUGGGUAUCGAACAGG
This 253-nucleotide ribosomal RNA is filed under the name uncultured Lachnospiraceae bacterium. Its description in RNAcentral is "partial 16S ribosomal RNA". It matches the Rfam family "Bacterial small subunit ribosomal RNA", at positions 524 to 776 of the family's 1533-position model. Lineage: Bacteria; Bacillati; Bacillota; Clostridia; Lachnospirales; Lachnospiraceae. The record is from RNAcentral.